Non-coding RNA from Triticum aestivum (bread wheat), 115 nucleotides. Lineage: Eukaryota; Viridiplantae; Streptophyta; Magnoliopsida; Poales; Poaceae. The record is from Rfam.
CAUAUACUCCCUCCGUUCGGAAUUACUUGUCUCAGAUCUGGAUGUAUCUAGAACUAAAAUACGUCUAAAUACAUCCAUUUAUGCGACAAGUAAUUCCGAACGGAGGGAGUACAUA